CGCGGCUUGUGGGAUCUCAAUUCCUGCACCAGGGAUUGAACCCUGGCCACAGCAUUGAAAGCCUGGAAUCCUAACCACUAAGAGGUUAACCACUUCUAUUGGCAGACCAGCCAAUAGAGAAGGACUUGAAUCACCUAAGAGGAUAAAAUCUAAAUGGCCACUAGACAUGUGAAAAGAUGCUGACCUCCAUUACAUGUCAGGAAAAUAUUAAUUAAAAUCACAAAGAGAAAGCACUACACACACACCAGAAUGGCUGACAUGAAAAACCCACACAUCCUAAGCGCUGCCAAAGAUGUACCACACUCAGACUCGGAGGAGGUAAUUGAGGACACCCACUCUGGCAGCUGGUUGGCAGCGACUCCUAAAUUUAGCAUUCGAUGCUCUAUGAGCCAGCAAUUCCGCUCCUGGGUGGACACCCACAGAAACCUGUCACAUGUUCUCUGAAAGACAUGUCCCUGCAUGUUCACCUCAGUGCUAUGAAAAAAAAAAAGACUCUAGACCACCCAAAUGCCCACCCAUAGAAGGAUUGGUAAAAAAGAACGCACACAGUGAAACACUCAACAGCAACGAGAACAAAUGAACCACAGUGACAUACAAAAAGCUGAAUAAAUCUCACAGACAAUGUUGAGUGAGAGGCCACACGAGCAUACAUGCUGUGUGAUUCCAUUUAUAUAAAGUCCCCAAAGAGGCAAACUCAAUCCACAGGGUUACAAGUCAGGAUGGGGGUUACCCUUGGGAGGCAUAGUGACUAGAAAGGGGGCAUGGUAGGGUUUCUGGGGGGCUGGUUAUAUUCUGUUUCCUGUUCUUUCUGUGAGUUUAUCAAACUGUACACUUAGGAUUUGUACCCUUUGCUUUAGGUAUACUGUAAUCCAGUUAAAAGUUUUCAUAACCCAGGGCUUCCCUGGUGGUGCAGUGGUUAAGCAUCCGCCUGCCAACGCAGGGGACACGGGUUCAAGCCCUGGUCCGGGAAGAUCCCACAUGCUGCACAGCAACUAAGCCCGAGCGCCACAACUACUGAGCCUGUGCCCUAGAGCCCGUGCUCUGCAACAAAAGAAGCCACCACAAUGAGAAGCCCGCGCACCACAAUGAAGAAUAACCUCUGCUCGCCACAACUAGAGAAAGCCCACACGCAGCAACAAAGACCCGACGCAGCCAAAAAAAAAAAAAGUUUUCAUGACCCAAAUGAACGAGAGUUGUCCAGCCACCUUCCUGAUCUCUUCCAAGCGAGUUUUACUUGCAGCAUCUGGUGAGGCCCAGAGAAAUGCCACUGUCCGGUGCCAUGCCCUAGAUCACUCUGUUUCCUCCUUGUUGCCCAUGGGCAGCCAGACUUGGCCUUGGCCACCUAUCAGAUGAGCCUGAGACAUCUAACUUCAAGGUGUCAUGACUGCCUAUUUAACCCUCUUCCUGUUGGGAAAUUACACUGGCCCCUCCCAAAAGGAGCCCCAGUCUUAACGAUGUUCCCCAGGCUCCUCCCUGGGUGCAGGAAGCAGGGCCGUGAUGGAACCUUGAACUCUCUAUUUCUCCCUGAGGGUCUGUUAAAAAGCAAAAUGGAUUCAGAAUCCAGGACUGAGAAAGUCCAGGCCGCCACUCACAACGGGAGGGGGACGGGCACGGCUAUGGCCUGUGUUAAAGCGACUCAGACACGAUGACAGCACAUUCCUUUCUUUUUUAAAAUUUUCUAAUUUUCUAAAAUUUAUAUAUAUUGUUUGGCUGUGCUGCGGGGCCUGCGGGAUCUUAGUUUCCCAACCAGGGAUCGAACCCAUGCCCCCUGCAGUGGAAGCACGGAGUCUAAACCAAUGGACGGCCAGGGAAUUCCCCACACUCCUUUUUGUUUAAAAAAAACAAAAUUUGAUGAGCGGUUAAGAGAGUCUUUUAUAAUAUAAUUUUAUUAUAUGAUUUUUAACCACAAUUUAAAAAAAUAUAUUCAAAUUCCGGGCUUCCCUGGUGACACAGUGGUUGGGAGUCUGCCUGCCGGUGCAGGGGACACGGGUUCGAGCCCCGGUCCGGGAAGAUCCCACGUGCCGCGGAGCGGCUGGGCCCGUGAGCCACAACUGCUGAGCCUGCGCGUCUGGAGCCCGUGCUCCGCAACAAGAGAGCCCGCGACGGUGGGAGGCCCGCGCACCGCGAUGAGGAGUGGUCCCCGCCCACCGCAACUAGAGAAAGCCCUCGCACAGAAACGAAGACCCAACAUAGACAAAAUUAAAAAAAAAAAAAAUUCAAAUUCCAUAUGUCAAUUACCUCCAUAAAUCUAGAACUGUUUCUUAAAGGUAAAGGCUCAAAAGGGAAUCUCGGCCUGAAAUUGAGGAGGAUUUUAUGUCACAAUCUGUAAAUGAAGCUAUGCUUGCCAAGCGCAGUAGUUAAAACAAAACAAAGCAAAAAUGGUAAAAUUACUCAUGUUUGCUUCCCUAGCAGUGUCUUCUAUCCCCAGGCAUGCUUUUGCCAACUUACCAACACUUCUGAAAUAUUUCACUACUAAUAAAUCUCUUGAUUUGCAAAGGAAAAAAUUAAAAGAACGAAUGAGCUUUAUAUAUUUCAACACAGAAAAAUCUCCCAAACAUAACGAGAAGAAAUACAAGGUCCAAAAGAUACAAACAGCGUGAUAAAAACAAGAACGUGCACUCUGGACACACGUAUAUAUUCAGGAAAAGUAUAAAGUCUCACAUGGAAUAAUACUUGGCAACUUCAGGACAGAUGAAGGAGGAAGGAGUGAGAAAUGGGGUGAGGCUUUUUAGCUUUAGUCCCUAAAAAAGGGAAAAAAACUCAAAGCAAAUAGGGCAAAAUGUUAAUAUCUAUUAAUUCUAAGUGGUAGGUACGUGGGUGUUUGUUACAGUAUUUUCUCUAUGUCUGCAAUAUUUCACAAUUAAAAGUAAAAAAUCAGUUCAAAAAGAAUAACAAUUAUAUUUUUUGGCCAUUUGGGGAAAAAAGGAUUUUGAUGAAGGCACAGUGAUAGAAAUCACGUCAGUGCUUCCCUGAGGUCAGGUAUGGCGGGAGGGAUGGACUGCACAGGAACACAAGGCAAUUUGGGGGGUGAAGGAAAUAUUUUUAACUAUGGUGACGGUUUCAUGGCAAAUACCUGUGAUAAAACCCAUCAAAGUGAACCCUUAAAAUAAGUACAGUUUAUUGCAUGUAAGUCAUACCUCAGAACAAGUUGUUAAAUAAAAAGGAAUUUUAUAAGAUUAAGAAAGUGAGAAGGCAAGCCAUAGACUAGGAGAAAAUAUUUGCAAAUCAUAUAUCAGAUAAAGGACUUGUUGCAGAACAUAUAAAGAGCUCUUAAAACCCAACAAUAGCUGGGAAUUCCCUGGCAGUCCAGUAGUCAGGACUCGGUGCUUCCACUUCAGGGGGAUCCGGUUCAAUCCUUGGUCGGGGAACUAAGAUCCCCAAAAGCCACAUGGCACAGCGAAAAAAAAAGAAAAGUCAGCAGAGAAAUAACAGUCAAAGCCACAAUGAGAUUCCAUUUCACACCCACUAGAAUAACUGUAUUCAAAACAACGGCCAGUUGCACACACGUCCACAUCAGCGUUAUUCACAACAGCCAAAAAGUGGAAACAACCCCAAAGUUCAUCAAUUUGUGAAUGGAUAACAAAAUCUGGUGUAUUUAUACAGUGGAGUAUUAUUAAUACAUAAAAAGGAAUAAAGUACUGAUACAUGUUACGACAGGGAUGAAUCUUGAAAACAUUACGCGCAGCGAAGGAAGCCAGACACAGAAGGCCACGUAGUGUAUGAUUCUUUUAUAUGAAAUGUCCAGAAUAGGUAAAUUCAUAGAGACAGAAAGCAGAUUAGUGUUGGCCAGGGGCUGGGGGAGGGGAGAAUGGGGAGUGACUGCUAACGGACCUGAGGGAUCUUUUCAGUGAUGGAAAUGUUCUAAAAUGACUGUGAUAACAAUUGCACGACUAUGUAAGUUUACUAAAAAUAAAUUGUCCACUCAAGACAGGUGAAUUUUAUGGCAUGUAGACUAUACCUCAUAAAGCUGUUUAAACAAACAAACAAAAAGUAGAGUCUCUCCCACUGAAAUUGGCAAAUGCUGCUGUGCAAAUGCGCAGGCUUCUCAUUGCGGUGGCUUCUCUUGUUGCAGAGCACAGGCUCUAGGCACAUGGGCUUCAGUAGUUGUGGCACACGGGCUCUAGAGCGCAGGCUCAGUAGUUGUGGCGCAUGGGCUUAGUUGCUCCACGGCCUGCGGGAUCUUCCCAGACCAGGGCUCGAACCCGUGUCCCCUGCACUGGCAGGUGGCUUCUUAACCACUGCGCCACCAGGGAAGUCCCUGGACCUGAAAUCUUGAGCAAGGUAUCAAGGAUGCCAGGAGUGCCUAGGAGUCAUGCAGGAGGGAGGAUGGCAGGUGAAGGGCGGACGUGGGGUGGUGCUCUCAGUCCUCUGACCUCAGGAGUCCACCAGUGUCUCGUGCUCAUGGCAACCUGGGGUAGACGCCUUGCUGCCAAGUGUUGGCCCAACCAGGGA
Non-coding RNA from Kogia breviceps (pygmy sperm whale), 4452 nucleotides. Lineage: Eukaryota; Metazoa; Chordata; Mammalia; Artiodactyla; Physeteridae. The record is from RefSeq and is a predicted model, not a curated record.